UGCGUAGGCGGCUUGGUAAGUCAGAUGUGAAAUCCUGGGGCUCAACCUCGGAACUGCAUUUGAUACUGCCAGGCUAGAGUACUGGAGAGGAGACUGGAAUUUACGGUGUAGCAGUGAAAUGCGUAGAUAUCGUAAGGAAGGCCAGUGGCGAAGGCGAGUCUCUGGACAGUAACUGACGCUGAGGCACGAAGGCGUAGGGGAGCAAACG
RNAcentral lists this ribosomal RNA (208 nucleotides) under uncultured bacterium. RNAcentral describes it as "partial 16S ribosomal RNA". It matches the Rfam family "Bacterial small subunit ribosomal RNA", at positions 568 to 774 of the family's 1533-position model. The record is from RNAcentral.